Molecule: long non-coding RNA, 850 nt
Organism: Bactrocera tryoni
Lineage: Eukaryota; Metazoa; Arthropoda; Insecta; Diptera; Tephritidae
Exons: 2
Source: RefSeq, a predicted model, not a curated record
UUAAGGAAACUGUGGGACGGCAUUUAAAACUCCUUACGUACAGCUGCAACCGAAACCAUUGGUUUUCGGAAAGUACAAAAGAGCAGCUGGUACAACGAGGUGUGCCGUGUUGCAACGGAGAGAAAACAGGCUGCCUACCUCGCAACGUUACGAUCGACCACAACACGACUUAAAUAUAUCUAUGGAACUAUGGACGAAGAAGAUCGUGUGGAUAUUGAAGGAAAAUUAAAUAUUAAUACUCAAAAUGCACAAGAUGCACAUAAUGCAAUUGAACAAAUUAAUAAACAACAAAAUAUUAAUGAAAAAUUUGGCAAUUAAAUAGAAACUAUAACUAGUAAUUUAAACACUCAUUACAAAGAAUUUGUUGAAAAUAUGAACAGUAUCAACUCAGAACUUAAAGCUGUAUCGACAAAAAAGGCAAUAAAUUAUUAGAAAAUUUAAUGUAUAUCAAAACAAAUGUAAUAAGAAUAAAAGAAAUCAUAAUGACUAGCCAAUUAAAUAAAGAUAUUAUUAGAGAUGAAGAUGUAACUAAUUUUAAUGUAACUUUCGAAAAACUUAAAGAAAUAAAAAUUAUAAUAUUUGCUAAAGACGAAAAUAUUGUAAUAUUAGUAAAGUUACCUCAAUCUGGAAAAUAAAUAUAUCAAACAAUUCAUGUACAACCAAUACCAAAUGCAAGAUAAAUGGAAGUUUGUAUUAAAGAAAACGAGAUAUUGUUCAUUAAUGAAAUAACUUAUAAGAAACCAAAGUUUAAGGAAGAUUUACAACAAUAUGAAGAUAAGCGUAUUAAAAUCUUUUUAAAUGAAAAAUUCACUGUAAUUAUGUAAAAAACAAUAAAACCUGGUUAAAUGAG